This is a long non-coding RNA of Aphis gossypii (cotton aphid), 964 nucleotides long. RefSeq lists it as uncharacterized. The record is from RefSeq and is a predicted model, not a curated record. Lineage: Eukaryota; Metazoa; Arthropoda; Insecta; Hemiptera; Aphididae. The transcript is spliced from 3 exons.
UAAAAUCGUAAUAAUUGUGGCCUAUUUUGUGAGUGAAUUAUUAGUAUUAUGACUUUUUACUAAAAUUGUAUACAUUUGUGUUGUGUUAGGUUCUUUGCUUAAUAGUUCGAUGGUAUGCGAUAUCUUACAGUUGUGACGAGCAACGACAUCAUUUACAAAUUACGUUUAAAAUAUUUCAAUACAACAUAGAAUUGAUAGUGUUAUGCAUUUUCAAAAUUUCUUUUUACGUUUGCUAUACUGAUAAUAAAAAAAUCGAAAUGCAAUUUUGUGAUAACAUAUAUCAAAUGCACGCGGCACAAUCAAUAAUAAUAAAUAAUAUUGUUCACCCAACACCCGCAGUAAUAAACUAAUAAAUUGUAGUCAAAUGUAUCUACACAAAAUACAAAUCCACAACACAUUUACACAUUGGCGUCCGUAUAAUAUUGUAUAAGAAAAUCGUCUUUCCAUUUUUCCGAUUCGAGCUUUGUAACACGAAUAUAGCCGUGUAAGUAUACUCGAAACUCGAAUAUAUGUUUUUGAUGAAUGAUCAUAAUUCUGCACAGCAAGUCCGAUGAAAAUUCAGGAAAUCGGCAACACUCGUCUGCGUUCAUUUGCGAGCUGUCGGGAUUUAUUAUGUCGUGCGGGUGCGACCGUGCAGGGUAUCUGCGUCGCGAUUUUUUCAAUCACUUCCGCACUGAAUUCGGCGACUUGCGUAAACAACGACAUGCCAACGAACUCGUUUAAUUUGAUGUCAUAACCUAUUGUCUUAUUAUAAUAUAAUACGUCAAUAUAUCACGAUUAUAAUAAUAUAUUCUGUACCCAACAUUAAAACCAUGUUUGUAUAAACAAUAUAUUGCAAACAGUUAUCGGGCAAUCGCCAAACACAUAUAUAAAUUGUCGCAUUUUGCAGUUUUGGUUAGCAGCCUGGGUAGACGAUAUACUAUUGUGAUUAUAUUAUUUAUAAAUUUAUUGUAGGUACAAUACU